RNAcentral lists this ribosomal RNA (253 nucleotides) under uncultured bacterium. Its description in RNAcentral is "partial 16S ribosomal RNA". It matches the Rfam family "Bacterial small subunit ribosomal RNA", at positions 524 to 776 of the family's 1533-position model. The record is from RNAcentral.
UACGUAGGCAGCGAGCGUUGUUCGGAAUUACUGGGCGUAAAGAGUGUGUAGGCGGUGCUCUAAGUUCGGUGUGAAAUCUCUCGGCUUAACUGGGAGGGUGCGCCGGAAACUGGAGUGCUCGAACGUGGGAGAGGAAAGCGGAAUUCCUGGUGUAGCGGUGAAAUGCGUAGAUAUCGGGAGGAACACCUGUGGCGAAGGCGGCUUUCUGGGCCUUACCUGACGCUGAGACGCGAAAGCGUGGGGAGCGAACCGG